UACAGAGGUGGCAAGCGUUGUUCGGAAUUACUGGGCGUAAAGGGCGCGUAGGCGGCCUUGUAAGUCUCGUGUGAAAGCCCUCGGCUUAACUGAGGAUCUGCACGGGAUACUGCGAGGCUUGAGUUCGGGAGAGGAAAGCGGAAUUCCGGGUGUAGCGGUGAAAUGCGUAGAUAUCGGCAGGAACACCCAGGGGGAAACCAGUCGACUGGGCAUCUACUGACGCUGAGGUGCGAGAGCGUGGGGAGCGAACCGG
This 253-nucleotide ribosomal RNA is filed under the name uncultured bacterium. Its description in RNAcentral is "partial 16S ribosomal RNA". It matches the Rfam family "Bacterial small subunit ribosomal RNA", at positions 524 to 776 of the family's 1533-position model. The record is from RNAcentral.